Anolis carolinensis (green anole) is the source of this 1725-nucleotide long non-coding RNA. The record is from Ensembl. NCBI's taxonomy places the organism in Eukaryota, Metazoa, Chordata, Lepidosauria, Squamata, Anolidae.
CCUUAUGUAGGACUCAAUACUAAAACAUUGACCUCUUAAUACACUUUUAAAUGAGUCCCACACCACAGUUUUAGAUAACUCUCCAUUAUCAUUUAUUCUAUAAUAUUCUUUUAUCUCCUCCUGAAGCUUCAAUUUAUAUUCAUCUUUUUCUGUUACCACCGAAUUAUAUCUCCAAAUUCUUUGACUAAUCUCAUUACUCAAUCCCAAGGUUGCAAUCAGAGGACUGUGGUCUGACAAAAAUAUUGGUUUCCUUUCUACCUUCUUUAUUUGGGCUUUGCUUGCUUUAUUUAGUAAGAUAUAAUCUAUACAGCUAAAUUUAUUGUGUCUUGCUGAAUAAAAAGUAUCCCUAAUACUUUGAUUUGCGUGUGCAUCCACCAUAUUAAGCUUAUUUACAUUUAUUGCUUUUUUAUUUUUUUUAGUUAAGUCCAAAUUGAAAUCGCCUGCCCAAAUCAAUGUCCCUUCCGCAUAAUUAUCCAGCUUCUUUUUAGUAUUCAAUAUAUACUGUUUUGUGUUUCUGUUCGGUGCAUAUAUCACAGCUAAUGUUAUUUUAACCUGAUUUAUCUUGCCUUUCACAAAAACUGUUCUUCCUUCCCUAUCUCUUUGAACAUCAAGCUCCUGAAAUGGAACAUUUUCAUUGAUUAGAAUUGCUACCCCUCGUGAGUUCCCUGUCCCUCGAGAUUCAUAAAUUCUAUUCCAUGUUUUAUCUUUAAUCAAUUUAUCCCUCCCCCUCUUUUUAUGAGUUUCCGAUAACAUUAUCACAUUUAUCCUACAUUCCUUUGCCAUUUUCAACAUCCUAUAAAUCUUAAGAUCUGCCAUUCCAUUUAUAUUCAGUGCCAAUAUAGUUAAAUCACCCAUUUGUUUUGUAUAAUUCCAUUUUUAUCUCUCCCCCUUGUCUCUUCAGUUUCUUUUCUUCUCCUCUCCCCCUUUUUGCCCCCCACCCUGGAUCCCCAUUGUGCCCCUUUCCCCUCAGAGUCCAGUCCUUUCCCUUCUCCCAUCAGAGAAGGACUCGAAAGAGUUCUAUUCUCUUCCCUUCCCAGACUCCACUUGGCGGCUGCGUUGCCCUUCGCCAGUUCCCACACCUGCAAAUUAUUUUAACCCAGUUUAUCAAAGUGGUUUUUUACAUCUUGGAUCUUGUUUCCAUUCUCCUUAUUUCCUCUUUCUGUUUUCUAGUCUCCUCUUGCAUCUCCAUAAAUUUACCUUCAUACUGUUGCACCUUUGACUCCAUUGAUCCCAGCCGGGUGUUAAUCAUUUCAACUUGUUCUUUUAAUUCAUCAUUCCCCUUCUUUAAGCUAUCAGAGCUUAUCUUUAGUUCAUUCAAUGUUUGUAAUAUUUGGUCCAGCUUCCGCCCCCAUUCCACUCCCUCCGCCAUUAUGGCACUCACGUUCAGUUCUUUCCUUCACCCGGUCUUCUGAUUUAUUUUCUGAGGUUUCAAGUUUCAGACGCUCAAACUGCGAUCUGCUUUGCUUCCUCUUUUUUCACGACCGGGUCCAGGUUGGAGAGAGAGAUUUAUGAUCUUCCUGGGCUUUAAAAAUAAGCUUUAUUUCUUUUGCAGUUAGGGAGCUCUCUUAGGCACGUCUAUCUUAUCUGACGCAUGCGCAGCAUCCCCCAUAGUGGUUGUAGUUUUACAAGAUCUUUAAGCCUUAUCUGUCAAAAAAUGUUGGUGUCUUACAAACCUGUAAAUUCUAGUAUUCCACAGUAUUGAGCCAUGACUGUAAAAGCAGUGUC